Molecule: unclassified non-coding RNA, 411 nt
Filed under: Hevea brasiliensis (rubber tree)
Lineage: Eukaryota; Viridiplantae; Streptophyta; Magnoliopsida; Malpighiales; Euphorbiaceae
Source: RNAcentral
GCUCCACUGACUCCCAUCAGUGCUGUCAAUACGCCUGGCCUAAAUGCACCAGUCACUUCGCGAAGCAAUUGAAGUCUGUCCUCUGUUACUCCUUGGUCCCUCAUUUCAGGUGGCAUGUCAACAAAGUAGCUCACAUCCUCGAAAGACAUUGCCAGUGGAGUAAAUGGUAGAAUCAUUCCUUUCUUUGCUGCUACACCAUUUGCAGCCUCAAGAUUUGCAUCUUCAUUUCUAUGGAGACCAGUAGAGCCAGUACGACUGCUCAUUCGUCGGAUUUCCAUUUCUCUUGUUCUGUUUCCAUCAGCUGCAGAUAAGGAUCGAGGGAGAUCAUCUCUCUUCGAUCUGUUGACUCUAAGUCUAGGGGGGUCCCUACUUUCUUCUUGAUCAGCUUCCAUAUCCCUGGCCUGCUCUUUG